AGUGAACGCUGGCGGUAGGCCUAACACAUGCAAGUCGAACGGCAGCACAGUAAGAGCUUGCUCUUACGGGUGGCGAGUGGCGGACGGGUGAGGAAUACAUCGGAAUCUACUUUUUCGUGGGGGAUAACGUAGGGAAAAUUACGCUAAUACCGCAUACGACCUACGGGUGAAAGCAGGGGAGCUUCGGACCUUGCGCGAUUGAAUGAGCCGAUGUCGGAUUAGCUAGUUGGCGGGGUAAAGGCCCACCAAGGCGACGAUCCGUAGCUGUGCUGAGAGGAUGAUCCGCCACACUGGAACUGAGACACGGUCCCGACUCCUACGGGAGGCAGCAGUGGGGAAUAUUGGACAAUGGGCGCAAGCCUGAUCCAGCCAUACCGCGUGGGUGAAGAAGACCUUCGGGUUGUAAAGCCCUUUUGUUGGGAAAGAAAAGCAGCAUGUUAAUACCCCGCUGUUCUGACGGUAACCAAAGAAUAAGCACCGGCUAACUUCGUG
This 492-nucleotide ribosomal RNA is filed under the name uncultured bacterium. RNAcentral describes it as "partial 16S ribosomal RNA". It matches the Rfam family "Bacterial small subunit ribosomal RNA", at positions 29 to 507 of the family's 1533-position model. The record is from RNAcentral.